AUUGAACGCUGGCGGAAUGCUUUACACAUGCAAGUCGAACGGUAGAGGGGGUAACCCCUUGAGAGUGGCGAACGGGUGAGUAAUACAUCGGAACAUGCCCAGUCGUGGGGGAUAACGUAGCGAAAGCUACGCUAAUACCGCAUACGAUCUAUGGAUGAAAGCGGGGGACCGUAAGGCCUCGCGCGACUGGAGUGGCCGAUGGCAGAUUAGGUAGUUGGUGGGGUAAAGGCCUACCAAGCCUGCGAUCUGUAGCUGGUCUGAGAGGACGACCAGCCACACUGGGACUGAGACACGGCCCAG
This 300-nucleotide ribosomal RNA is filed under the name uncultured Ramlibacter sp. RNAcentral describes it as "bacterial SSU rRNA". It matches the Rfam family "Bacterial small subunit ribosomal RNA", at positions 30 to 334 of the family's 1533-position model. The record is from RNAcentral. Lineage: Bacteria; Pseudomonadati; Pseudomonadota; Betaproteobacteria; Burkholderiales; Comamonadaceae.